UAGAUGUGCAAAAAGGUUAGUUAAUACUGAGAUUAAAUGAAGAAGAACUGACAAUCAACGUGUUUAGAGCUUUCAGAUUUCAAAGCGAACCGGAUUCUUGCAUGCAGAUUGAUGUAAUAAAAGAAGCGGUGUCAGAGACAUUUAAACUAGAUCACCCUCAAGAUCUGCUUGAGUUGUGUUUAGUGCAUUCUCAGGAUCUACCAUCAGAAAAGGAGGAAGCAGAAGAAUGUAAAAGUUAUUUGGUAGCCAUACCACCAUUCUUCAAGCAACCAUGAUUGGAGCUCAGUGAAAGUCCCACAACACCUUCACCAUCUAUACAACAAGUUCCAGCUCUUGAACUCAAACAACUGCCCACUCAUCUUCGUUAUGCAUACUUGGGGGAAAAGAAUUCACUUCCAGUAAUUAUCUCAAACAAUCUUACAGAAGUGGAGGAGGAUCGGUUGCUGAGGGUGCUUCGAAAGCAUGAGACAGCAAUAGGAUGGACGAUAUCGGAUAUAAAAGGGAUCAGCCCUUCACUUUGCAUGCAUAAGAUACUGAUGGAAGAUGAUUACAAAGCUUCAAUUGAGCAUCAAUGCAGAUUAAAUCCGACUAUGCAGGAAGUUGUAAGAAAAGAAGUAUUAAAGCUUUUGGAUGCCGAGAUCAUCUAUCCCAUAUUAGACAGCCAUUGUGUUAAUCCAGUACAGGUCGUACCAAAAAAGUGAGGGAUCACGGUGGUUCCAAAUGAAAACAAUGAGCUCAUCCCUACACGCACAGUCACGGGUUGGAGAGUUUGAAUUGACUAUCGCAAACUCAACAACGCCACGAGGAAGGAUCACUUUCCCCUUCCUUUCAUUGACCAGAUGCUAGAAAGACUUGCUGGACAUGCUUACUACUGCAUCUUGGAUGGUUAUUCGGGGUACAACUAGAUUUCUAUAGAACCAGAUGAUUAAGAGAAGACGACCUUUACAUGCCCUUAUGACACUUUUGCUUAUAGGAGGAUGCCCUUCGGUCUUAGCAACGCUCCUGCCACCUUUUAGCGUUGUAUGAUGUCUAUUUUCUCGGAUAUGAUGGGAAAUAUCAUUGAGGUGUUUAUGGAUGAUUUCUCAGUAUUUGGAAAAUCAUUUAAGGAGUGCCUUGAACAUUUAGAAAAAGUGUUAUAGCGGUGUGAAAACACAAACCUUGUAUUAAAUUGAGAAAAAAUGUCAUUUCAUGGUUCAAGAAGGGAUUGUGUUAGGGCAUCUGAUUUCAUCACAAGGUAUUGAGGUGGAUAAAGCUAAGAUACAAGUCAUCAAAAAACACCGUCGGUAACAGUGAAGGGAGUCACAAGUUUCUUAGGUCAUGCAAGGUUCUACCGUCACUUCAUCAAAGAUUUUUCCAAAAUCUCGAAGCCAUUAUGCAAUCUAUUGGAAAAAGGAGCUUCAUUUCACUUUUUUGAGGAGUGCUUGACUGCUUUCAACACUUUAAAGGAAAAAUUGGUUUCUACUCCAGUGUUGGCUCCUCCGGACUGGGAUUAUCCGUUUGAGCUUAUGUGUGAUGCCAGUGAUCAUGUAGUGGGGGCAGUGUUGGGUCAACGUAAGGGGAAGAUUUCUCAUGUUAUCCACUAUGCUAGUAAGACUUUAGAUAAGGCUCAAAUGAAUUAUGCUACUACAGAGAAAGAGCUUUUGGCAGUGGUGUUCGCUGUUGAUGAAUUCAGGUCAUAUUUGAUUGGUUCAAAAGUGAUUGUUUAUACAGAUCAUUCAGCGUUAAAAUAUCUAAUGAGUCAGAAGGAUGCAAAGCCGAGACUUAUUCGUUGGAUACUCCUAUUACAAGAGUUUGAUCUGGAAAUUAGAGAUAAAAAGAAGAGUGAGAAUGUUGUGGCAGAUCACCUCUCACGCCUUGAAUCACAUGAGUCAAAUCCUACAUUGGAGAUCAAUGAAGCCUUUCAUGAUGAAAUGCUCUUUCAGAUUAUCACUACACCAUGUUACACCGAUUAUGUCUAUUAUUUGGCUCGCUCCAUCAUCCCACCAGACUACUCGAGUCACCAAAAGAAGAAAUUCUUCAGUGACCUAAAACACUACUUUUGGGAUGAUCCAAUUCUUUACAGAAGGGGUCCAGAUCAGAUCAUACGCCGUUGUGUGCCAGAGGUAGAGCAGCAUCAAGUAUUAGAGUCAUGUCACUCUGCACCGUAUGGGGGCCAUUUCGCAGCAACCAAGACAGUAGCAAAGGUACUGCAAUUGGGUUUUUAUUGGCCUACAUUGUUCAAAGAUGCCCAUUAUAUGGUGAAACAUUGUGAUAAGUGCCAAAGGACUGGAUAUAUUUCAAGGAGGAA
Molecule: long non-coding RNA, 2287 nt
Filed under: Olea europaea subsp. europaea
Lineage: Eukaryota; Viridiplantae; Streptophyta; Magnoliopsida; Lamiales; Oleaceae
Source: RNAcentral